GUCGAGGGUCGGCUAGCGAUGGUCGUCGACGGCCAGGUCGUCGAUGUCGAGCGGGCCAGCGGCGGGCGGUUCGACGCCGCCCCCCAGGCG
Molecule: transfer RNA, 90 nt
Filed under: Acrocarpospora macrocephala
Lineage: Bacteria; Bacillati; Actinomycetota; Actinomycetes; Streptosporangiales; Streptosporangiaceae
Description: tRNA-Leu
Source: RNAcentral